This 516-nucleotide long non-coding RNA is filed under the name Nicotiana benthamiana. Its description in RNAcentral is "long non-coding RNA (NBEN_LNC021252)". The record is from RNAcentral. Lineage: Eukaryota; Viridiplantae; Streptophyta; Magnoliopsida; Solanales; Solanaceae.
GUUUAGUUUCCAUUUCAUAGGCUUCAGAAAGGAUCUAUUAUAAUUGAGCAACUAAAUUCCCACGACUUUGAGUCUUUCGUUAUGGGAUUCUGCUGAUUCAUGUGCUCACUUGACUAUUUCGUGUCAUAUUGGCUGCAACUAGUGCUGUCGUGUGGGGAACAAGGAUUGAGUCAUAUUGUCCAACAAUAUAGAGAUAUUGCAGCAGCUCCUUGAUAGUGUUGAUUAAUUGAUCGACUUCCCGUCAAACAAUACUUUGAAGUUCCUAACCUCGGUCACUUUGGAGCCCUUUUUUAUAUGGGCUAAAUUGCAGUAGAACUCUUUGAUCAAGUGUUUGUUGGCAUUCACACAAAAGUCUAGAAAGUGCUCCCAACCCACUCUAGUUUUGAACUGUCUCUGCAUAUUAGGGUUGUGGGGCAGUAGGUCUCUAUCAAUGAAGCUCCGCUCCGGUAUCAACUCCUCACCGGCCACCACUCCCAAAACUUGUGGUACGCCACCUUGCUAACAAACCUAUCUUCC